Molecule: ribosomal RNA, 162 nt
Filed under: Allenrolfea occidentalis
Lineage: Eukaryota; Viridiplantae; Streptophyta; Magnoliopsida; Caryophyllales; Amaranthaceae
Description: 5.8S ribosomal RNA
Rfam family: 5.8S ribosomal RNA
About the family: 5.8S ribosomal RNA (5.8S rRNA) is a component of the large subunit of the eukaryotic ribosome.
Source: RNAcentral
AAAACGACUCUCGGCAACGGAUAUCUCGGCUCUCGCAUCGAUGAAGAACGUAGCGAAAUGCGAUACUUGGUGUGAAUUGCAGAAUCCCGUGAACCAUCGAGUCUUUGAACGCAAGUUGCGCCCGAAGCCAUCCGGCCGAGGGCACGUCUGCCUGGGCGUCAC